Molecule: long non-coding RNA, 516 nt
Organism: Labeo rohita (rohu)
Lineage: Eukaryota; Metazoa; Chordata; Actinopteri; Cypriniformes; Cyprinidae
Exons: 3
Source: RefSeq, a predicted model, not a curated record
GUUUGCUGUCUGUGCACCAUUCUGAAGAUGCCCAAAUUUAUUGAACGCUUGGAGCACACUUUCAGCAGUCAUUAGUCAGUGUUCAGGCAGUUUGUGAACAGGUCUGAGGCGUCUGUGAAAAUGCGAUUUCUCUGUCGUUUCAUUGCUUGUGCUUUCGUUCAGGACAAAAUCCAGGAUUAAGUUACAGCUCGAGUGGCACAAGCCAUGAGUUUGGAAACCAGCUUUAAGAGGAGUUAAAGGCACCGCAAAGUUAUUCUGCUCCAGGCUGCAUGAACAAGAAAGGGGAAAUCUGAAAUCCCUCGGAGGAACGGCACCAUUAAUAACAACUUGAUUCAAGACCGACUGGUAGUCGUUUUCUAUUAAUAAGUUUGUGUUACUCUAACAAUGUUGUUGCUUAUGUUCCUGCGGUAAUUAAGUUGAAAGUUGGAAGUGACAGCGCUCACUGAGGAACAGUGUUUAUUCAAGUUUGUAUUAAACUGAAGUUCGAAUACCACACUCGACUGAUUGUUGUGCCCA